ACCUUUACACUGCACGCGAGUGCGAUAGGGGGACUCCAAGUGCGAGGGCAUACAGUCCUCGCUUUUUGCGACCGUAAGGAGGUCGCGGAAUAAGUGCUGGGCAAGACCGGUGCCAGCCGCCGCGGUAAUACCGGCAGCACGAGUGAUGACCGAUAUUAUUGGGCCUAAAGCGUCCGUAGCCGGCCAGGCAAGUCCAUCGGGAAAUCCGCACGCCUAACGUGCGGGCGUCCGGUGGAAACUGCUUGGCUUGGGACCGGAAGAUCCAGAGGGUACGUCCGGGGUAGGAGUGAAAUCCCGUAAUCCUGGACGGACCACCGGUGGCGAAAGCACUCUGGAAAGACGGAUCCGACGGUGAGGGACGAAAGCUAGGGUCACGAACCGGAUUAGAUACCCGGGUAGUCCAAGCUGUAAACGAUGUCGCUAGGUGUGGCACAGGCUACGAGCCUGUGCUGUGCCGUAGGGAAGCCGUGAAGCGGACCGCC
This 482-nucleotide ribosomal RNA is filed under the name Halovivax asiaticus. RNAcentral's name for it is "bacterial SSU rRNA". It matches the Rfam family "Archaeal small subunit ribosomal RNA", at positions 346 to 828 of the family's 1478-position model. Lineage: Archaea; Methanobacteriati; Methanobacteriota; Halobacteria; Halobacteriales; Natrialbaceae. The record is from RNAcentral.